This 71-nucleotide transfer RNA is filed under the name Patescibacteria group bacterium. RNAcentral's name for it is "tRNA-Gln". It matches the Rfam family "tRNA". Rfam says of the family: Transfer RNA (tRNA) molecules are approximately 80 nucleotides in length. Their secondary structure includes four short double-helical elements and three loops (D, anti-codon, and T loops). Further hydrogen bonds mediate the characteristic L-shaped molecular structure. tRNAs have two regions of fundamental functional importance: the anti-codon, which is responsible for specific mRNA codon recognition, and the 3' end, to which the tRNAs corresponding amino acid is attached (by aminoacyl-tRNA synthetases). tRNAs cope with the degeneracy of the genetic code in two manners: having more than one tRNA (with a specific anti-codon) for a particular amino acid; and 'wobble' base-pairing, i.e. permitting non-standard base-pairing at the 3rd anti-codon position. The record is from RNAcentral.
UCCGGGGUCGUCCAAUGGCAAGACAGAGGCCUUUGAAGCCUCUUAUCCAGGUCCGAAUCCUGGCCCCGGAA